This 254-nucleotide long non-coding RNA is filed under the name Cavia porcellus (domestic guinea pig). RNAcentral's name for it is "lncRNA (ENSCPOG00000031558.1)". Lineage: Eukaryota; Metazoa; Chordata; Mammalia; Rodentia; Caviidae. The record is from RNAcentral.
CAAAUUUCCACUGGUGCUGCUGUGCGAGGUUCUGAGUUCCCUGCAUCCACGCUGUCACAUGUUCGGUUCCGCUUUCCCUGGUGGCUUCUACGGAUCCAUCGUCAGCCUCCUACCCCUUCUCAGCCAGAGACAGAGCAAAGGCUCAGACUGGAGAUUUCCAGUGGUGGCGGUGGUGUAACUUCUUCUAGCUCCCUGUGGCUACAGGGAAAUUACAUGCAUAAUCCCAAGAGCAAUCAUCGUAAAAAAGAAUGACG